This 468-nucleotide ribosomal RNA is filed under the name uncultured bacterium. RNAcentral describes it as "partial 16S ribosomal RNA". It matches the Rfam family "Bacterial small subunit ribosomal RNA", at positions 28 to 507 of the family's 1533-position model. The record is from RNAcentral.
GACGAACGCUGGCGGCGUGCUUAACACAUGCAAGUCGAACGGAAAGGCCCUGCUUUUGUGGGGUGCUCGAGUGGCGAACGGGUGAGUAACACGUGAGUAACCUGCCCUUGACUUUGGGAUAACUUCAGGAAACUGGGGCUAAUACCGGAUAGGAGCUCCUGCUGCAUGGUGGGGGUUGGAAAGUUUCGGCGGUUGGGGAUGGACUCGCGGGUUAUCAGCUUGUUGGUGGGGUAGUGGCUUACCAAGGCUUUGACGGGUAGCCGGCCUGAGAGGGGGACCGGCCACAUUGGGACUGAGAUACGGCCCAGACGCCUACGGGAGGCAGAAGUGGGGAAUAUUGCACAAUGGGCGGAAGCCUGAUGCAGCAACGCCGCGUGCGGGAUGACGGCCUUCGGGUUGUAAACCGCUUUCGCCUGUGACGAAGCGUGAGUGACGGUAAUGGGUAAAGAAGCACCGGCUAACUACGUG